This 420-nucleotide ribosomal RNA is filed under the name uncultured bacterium. RNAcentral's name for it is "bacterial SSU rRNA". It matches the Rfam family "Bacterial small subunit ribosomal RNA", at positions 28 to 425 of the family's 1533-position model. The record is from RNAcentral.
GACGAACGCUGGCGGCGUGCUUAACACAUGCAAGUCGAACGAAGAGCGACGGAAGCUUGCUUCUAUCAAUCUUAGUGGCGAACGGGUGAGUAACGCGUAAUCAACCUGCCCUUCAGAGGGGGACAACAGUUGGAAACGACUGCUAAUACCGCAUACGAUCUAAUCUCGGCAUCGAGGAUGGAUGAAAGGUGGCCUCUACAUGUAAGCUAUCACUGAAGGAGGGGAUUGCGUCUGAUUAGCUAGUUGGAGGGGUAACGGCCCACCAAGGCGAUGAUCAGUAGCCGGUCUGAGAGGAUGAACGGCCACAUUGGGACUGAGACACGGCCCAGACUCCUACGGGAGGCAGCAGUGGGGAAUCUUCCGCAAUGGACGAAAGUCUGACGGAGCAACGCCGCGUGAGUGAUGACGGCCUUCGGGUUG